Molecule: unclassified non-coding RNA, 6210 nt
Filed under: Acanthaster planci (crown-of-thorns starfish)
Lineage: Eukaryota; Metazoa; Echinodermata; Asteroidea; Valvatida; Acanthasteridae
Description: thioredoxin domain-containing protein 16-like, transcript variant X1
Source: RNAcentral
GCUAAUUUGACAGAAAGGGACAACGCGGUACGGGGGUUAGUCAAGAUGGAACAGAUUUUCCUAUUUUUCUGCACCAUGUGGCUAGCUGUUGCUUCAGCAUGGGCACAGGAUUACUACAAUGCGUUAUCUUCCAAGGAUUUUGAAUCAUUUAAGAACGCUGUUGUGCCCUGUGCGGUUUAUUUUGUUUCAAAGUCUCCUGAAAAACUGAAAAAAGAUUGGCAAGUAAAGGAGUUCUUGACAAACUUUAUGGAUUCUGGGCGGUACCUGACAGACUUCAGUGUCAACUUUGCCACAGUUGAUUGUCAUUCUGAUCCUGUGCAGGAUUAUUGUUCCAGGGACAAUGCAAGGAGUACACUUUUUGUAUUCAGACAUGGCCACAUUCUCACUGAACUGCCGAUGGAUUCGUUGUACAGUGUUGAUUCCAUCAUUUCAAACAUGCUACAUCUGGUGCUGUUACGAGAAGUUCCCCUUAUACAGGAACCGGCAGAUCUAGCAUCUAUGCAGCAACGCCACAAAGGACACAAAGAUAUCCUGUUUGCAAAGAUGAUUGCCGUGGGCACAUCAGAGCACCGUGCAUUUAUGGAAGGAGCCUUUGCAUAUGGCCACCUGUAUAAGUUUGUCAUGACCACAAAUAUGGGCACCAACAUGCUAGGACCUGGGUCCGAGGAGGAGUGGGAGGAGCAGGAGAAUAGGGUGUGGCUACUCCAGUGUAAGCAGGCAUCCUCACUGGACUUGUGUCAUAGGUCAUUCUUCCGGGGCAAGAUGCGCGUGGCUGACUUUGCCUUGUACCUGAAGACUCUGGAUGUUCUUCCAUAUACUGAAUAUAAAGCCCCAGGUGGGACAGUCCUGUACCAACAACUGGGCAUCCCAACGGCUUACCUGUACAGCAAUGCUGCUGAUUAUAGGUAUCACAAGGAGAUGGUCCAGGACCUAUCCCAGACAUACCGUGGAAACCUUGGCUUUGUCCUUGUUAACAGUGAUGUGACUCCAGAGAGUGUUGUAGCUGACAUUGAACGCUGCCAGCCUCCAUGCCUCAUGUUACAACGAGCGCCUGAGGAGAACUUGAUUCAUAUGGAAGAUGAUCUGACUGUGGAGAAUGUAGCAGAGUUCAUUGAGGACAACAUGUACAUUAGAGAGAAUCCCUCUGAAAUUCAAGAAGAGUACGAUCCUGUCCCAGUCCAAGAAGUCCAGGAUGACGAGGUGCAGCAUGCUGUCUACAGUGACACCAGAAUCCUUGACAUGGCGCACGUCCCCAAGUUGACCGACAAAACCUUCCCAGAAUUCAUUUCUGACACAGGAUUGGUCAUUGUUCUCUUUACAGUGCGCUGGGAUCCACGAUGCAAGGCUUUCCUGGAAUCUUACUCCAAUGCCGCUCAUACCAUCCAGCAGGACAUCCCUGCCACCGACCGACCCCCUGUUGGGCCCCUUGCCCAGGUGGAGUGUUUCAACUGGCCUGAUGUCUGCCAACUGGGCAACGUAACAGCCUACCCAACCAUCCAGCUGUACAGAGAGGGGAAGUUGGUGACGGAUUACCGGGGAUCGCUGAGUGAGGCAGGCAUCCUGAAAGCCUACAGACUGCAUUCCACCGCCAAUCCUGUGGUGUUGGACUCCUGUCCUGAUUGCCAGGCCAUCAGUAAAGGGGAGCUGCCAAGCUGGGUCUCCUCCACGCUUCCUGCCGUUGUCAUUGGAUACUUCCCAGAUGCUAGUACCAAAGAGCGGUCAGAGUUUGAGCAUGCAGCCAAGAUGCUCCACGGUCAGCACCUGAUGGCAGUGUGCUUCAAGGACUGUACACAACACAGCUCUGACACUGAUGGCUCCAAGCCCAUGGUGACUGCCUUCAAGUGGGGAGACCACCACCAGCCAUUGGUACAGUACAGUGGAGACUACACCACAGACAGUCUGGUCCAGUUUGUGCAAACAGCCACCCUCCCGCUAGUGCCGGAGCUGAGUCCCAGCAACCUCCCCCUUCACUUUGCCAAGGGCAAGCCUUUCCUCAUACUCUUCAAGGACGUGGAUGACCAGUCCAGGGAGGCAGAGGCUUCCCUGGCUAGUCUGGCUCGAGAGAAGACCUUUGAAUCGACGCUCACCAUAGUGUGGAUAGACGUGUCCCAGCCUUCCUCCAUCGGCUCAAAGAUCUUGAAGGACUACGGCAUCAGGCGGCAGCUCCUGCAUCCCAGCAUGGUGUUUGUGGACCAUGCCACCAAUAGGGUAUGCAACUACCCUGCCGACUACAGCUUCAAGGCACCGGCCAUGGCCAACUGGAUCGUCAUUGUGCUGAAUGGGGAGACCUCAUGCUCAGGUUUGAUGGAAAGCAAGUUUGAGCCGCAGGUCAGCCCUUAUGACUUCCUGGCACUGAUUGAGAAAGACAAGAAGGAGGGUACCCAGAGGAUGGGCAGGCUGGCCACAGAGCAUCACCAUGAUGAUGAGGAAGGGGUGGAGACUGAGGAGGACAAGGAGGAGGUUGAACAAGGGCCUGGUCAGCAGUUUGUCUCUGGAGAGCACCGCCACACAGAACUUUAGGUUGGACGGGUCAAGUCGAGCGCAUUAAAGGGCCCUUGCUGUAGAUUUUUUGGUUGCACAUGAAUCUAUGCCAUGCAUCUGUGCUAGUGCAAUUUACUAUCACUUUGUUAAGUUUUAAUUGCCACUUAAAAGUUUUUUGUGAUCUUGUUAAUCUGUGUAGUUGAUGCUUUCACACAUGGCUAUGUUUAUUAAAACAUACAUGUACAUGAUAUCAGCUGUGAUAUGGGCUUUAAUCUUGUUACGGAACGCAAACAAAUAGCCAUAGUUUCAUCUCCAGUCAAGUGCUUCAUUCAGGGAAGUUUACAAAUCUCAGCUUGGACUUUGGUUUUGGCCUUAGGUUUGAUUUUUUUGAGUUUGGUCCCCUAAGUUGAGGUCUUUAAACUCAGUGCAGCUUAAGGUCUUUAACUGGUGGUUCUCAAGCUCAUGCUUAAAUCAAAGUCAGAGAUAAAAGAGAGAGAGAAAAGUGCUCUCGGGGUACGCAGUUUCACCGGUGGGUAAACUGUGUUUGCUUUAGAGAAUUUCAGAUCAUUACGAGUGUCUGCUUAAACAUUAUUGCUGUGGACCCCCCCCCUGGGCCUUGCAAGAUAUCCUCCAGCACAGAUGGAGAAGUAAAUUCAAUAAAAAUAACUCUUUCAUCUUUUCAAGUCAGAAGACAGUAUCCCAUCAUAUUUACAACAUCCAGUGUGAAAACGAUGUCGUGUCGGCAAUGAAAAUGGGCAGUUUUACACCGUGGCUGCAUUUCUCUGUCAAAAGGGAAAUUUAGCAGUUCCUGAGACCUUGACAAAGGAGUUGUCUUUUUUAAAGUUUUGAUGUGUGGAUGUCGUUAAGUACUCGGCAGAAUUUCUUGCCAUUUCAUGAAACAUUUUUAGAGUGUCAUGAUUUAGGAGCUAGAGAGUCGUCAAAGAUUUGUGGUAGAAUCCUCCAGAUCUAUUAACCUUGAUGAUGUUGUUUUGGGGGAUUUUGUGGGUUUCUUUUUUUGUUUUGCACGAGGGAUGUAAAUUAUAAUUCUUGGUUCAAUCUGAUUUGGUGGGGGCUGUCAUGGCCAUGAAACCUGCUUUUAUUUGAAGUUUGAAAUUUGGCAAAUCCUUGCAAACCUGAUGGUUAGCGGUAAGAUAUCUGUAGUAGUAAGGUAGGAGGUUCAACUCCCACCUAAAUGAGCAUGGUAGAUUACUACCAAGCUGUCACACUAGCAAGCUAGAGUUGAGAGGUUUAAGUCCUGUCCCACCUAAAUGAGCAUGGUAGAUUACUACCAAGCUGUCACACUAGCUAGCUAGAGUUGAGAGGUUUAAGUUCUGUCCCACCUGAAUGAGCAUGGUAGAUUACCACUAAGCCGUCACGCUAGCUAGAGUUGAGAGGUUUAAGUCCUGUCCCACCUAAAUGAGCAUGGUAGAUUACUACCAAGCUGUCACACUAGCUAGCUAGAGUUGAGAGGUUUAAGUCCUGUCCCACCUAAAUGAGCAUGGUAGAUUACUACCAAGCUGUCACACUAGGGUGAAAAGGUUCAAGUUUGAGCUGAGUGAGCACAAACGUCUACAAAAGGUUGACAAAAUUUCUGUGGAACUUUGCAGACUUGUAGAAGUUUGGCCAGUCUUACCGCAGCACAAUAAUUCGGAUUGAUGAUGUAGUUGGAUUGCAACAGUGCCAUCUCGGACAUGACUGUGAUGCUUUUCCAUGGGCAUUUCCCUGGGCCAGUCAGGUCCUUUUUUUAAAUCCUGGCCUAAUCUCUGUCUUCAGCUCGAUCUUUAGCCCCAAGAUCAGUAGACAACAUUUGAAGUUGUAAUGAAAAUACUCAAACCUCAGAGAACGGGAUAACCUUCAUUCUUUGUUAUGGUUGUUUGCUCUUCAAAGUGGGAACCCAAGUCCUUUUGUGUUGGACAUUAUGUGUAUUUGUUUGUUUUCUGUGUUUGCUAACUUUGCCAUUUUUAUGAUAUUUUGGGGUGGUUUAAGUGAUACUUAGUUCUUCUUUUAGUUUAUCAUUGGAGUAUUUAGAAAGUUGAAUUUGUCAAGUAAUCAAGUAAACAUUCCUGUCGGCUGAUAGCAUUCGUGGAAUUUUGUGAAAGUUGUAAUGAAGUGGUCAAAUGCUCCUUUAAACAAGUACAAAAUUACUGAUGUGAGAUAGUGUUGAUGUAUUUAUCCGUAAGAUUGGAAAAUGUCUUUCGAGAGUUGUCUUUCAACCGUACUAUAUUAUUCUUUUCAAAGCUAAAUAAGAUUCUUUUAUGCGAGUGCUUAAUACGGGUGAUUCCAAAUAGUGCACCACCGAGAGUUUCCAACGCGUUGGCCAAUCUCAAUGCGUGAAAUGUGUCGACCCUUCCAAAAGCGAAUUGCCAGUCAGUACCUCCAGAUGUGUCAACACAUUCAAAUGCACAUUGCGUACAGUAGCCACUGCGUUGUAGACUCUUGGAAGCGCACUAUUUGGAAUUGCCCUCACUAAAACCUCCAUUCUCUCAAUGUCUGAUUAGUGUUGAUGUCAUAUGCAUGUAUGUGCAUUUUCAAUGUCCAUGAAAAAGUUAUACAUAAAAAUCAAGUUGAAGAUGUGGACUUACAGCCAGCUCAUACUUCAGGCAAAAGCGGAGCAAAUUUGAUGUUGCAGUGUAUUUUGCAGCCAAAUUUGUUUCAGUUGAUAUGUGUUCAACUUUGGCGAUUUCGCAGCAUGAACAUUUUUAUCUCACCUCAUAAUUUCUCUUGUGUGUUUGCUUUCAUGUCAAGCAUGAACCAGUCUUCAGGAUUUGUAUCUUACUGGACUGUAUAUAUCUUCUGUGUGUAAGCCAUUUGGAAGGUGUGUGAACUUGUUCCAAAGAGAUAAACAUUAGUGGAUGUGGACCUUCGAUGGCAUUCACUGAAUUGAAAAAUAACAUUAAUCAUGGCUGUUUUUUCUGCCAGGUGACCGUUGGUUAAUGCACACGAAGGUGUAAAUGCUCAUUUAGAAUGUUUUUUCUACAUGUCAAAGCUCAUUUAUUGAUUGUACAUCUAGGGCUUUGGUGUAUUGGCUUUGUUAGUGCGUUGCUUUGAAAUACAGACACAGUUAUGCAAAAGCCACACAAAAGCCGAACAAGAUUUAGCCGAAGAAAAGAGGUAAUCGGCUGCAGGCUUCACUUUGCACUGUGAGUUUGUAGUCCAGUUAUUCUACAUACCUGGAGGGAAUGCAAAACCUGUACGGUGGAAACAAACGAUAAAGCAUUGAAUAAAGUGUUACAAAAACACUCCCCAACCAAGAGUCAUCUCACUGGACAAAAUUCUAUUUGCACAGAGUAAAUUUCAGAAUGUGUACACUCAUAGUACAACCGCAAAUAUUUGAAUAUUGAAAUACAGAUUACACAAUUAACAGUAUUUACUUUUAAUUUGUAUAUUUUGGCUGAAACACUUGUAUUUCCUGCCACAAUGUGGCUAGGUGUAUUUUAUAUUCAUUGUCACUUUUAAAGCUGUUCGGAAUAGUCAACUAGACUUGUUCAGUGCUGGACCUGUACGAGCAUGUGGUCAUUCAGAGAUUAUAGUCAACUCAUGAUUAAUCGCAGUCCUUGAUUGAACAACUCCACGUUGUAUUACGACUGUUGCCAUCUUCCUGCCAGACUUGAACUUGUUUAUUUUUUUUAUCUUGUCAAAUUGUUAUCCGAGAUCAUGAAACGUGAAUCUUAUUUAUUAAAAGAGUAAUGUUCAUACAAGUAUGGUACAUUAAAUGUUUCAAUCAGCACA